CUCCAUGCUCGGCCCAAUUCGUUAAAAACCGGAAUGCCGAAGAGUUCGCCGCCCGAUAUCCCGGAGCAGCUGCAGCGAUUAUAAAUCGACACUAUGUCGAUGAUUAUUUCGAUAGCGUCGACACGAUUACCGAAGCAGUGCGGUUAGCAAAGGAGGUGCGAUUCGUCCAUUCGAAAGCGGGCUUCGAAAUUGGGUGUCAAACUCGCAAGAAGUGCUGCAAGGUUUGGGAGAAGAGAAGCCGUUGGCGCCGGUUCAUUUCAGUCCAGACAAGCACACCUCCAAUGAGCGAGUGUUGGGAGUGAUCUGGGAUCCGGUGUUGAACGAAUUCGCCUUUUCAACGAAGCACCGCGAAGAGGUUCUGCCGUAUCUGUUCCAAGGAAAAAGACCAACGAAAAGACUCGUUGCCAGCUGCGUGAUGGGGUUUUUCGAUCCACUGGGGCUGCUAUCACCGUUUACCAUCCACGGCAAAAUAAUCAUCUAGCAACUGUGGCGUUCCAAAUGCGAUUGGGAUCAGGAGAUCGAUGUCAGGUGCUGGGAAUUGUGGCAGCGCUGGACCGGCCUGUUACCGGAAGUGGAAGCAAUUCGAGUCCCACGAUGCUAUUUAGUCUGCGCGUUGACUACCGAAAUCGAGUCGUUGGAGGUACACAUCUUUACAGAUGCUAGCGAACAUGCGUAUGGUUGUGUGGCGUAUUUGCGUGCCGUUGUAAGAGGAGAAGUAUUGUGCAGUUUGAUGAUGUCCAGAGCCAAGGUAGCACCGCUGAAACGACAGUAAAUACCUCGUUUGGAGUUGAUGGGCGCAGUACUGGGAGCCCGGAUGUCUCAGACAAUACUAAACACACAUUCGCACAAGUUCCUUCGAACCGUUUUCUGGACAGAUUCCCGGACCGUAUGCAGCUGGCUACAUUCGGACCAGCACAAGUAUAAACAGUUUGUAGCUUUCCGGGUUGGAGAGAUAUGGGAGCUAACUAAAGUGGAAGACUGGCGGUGGAUUUCGACAAAGCUCAACAUCGCUGACGUGCUGACGAAGUGGGGACAGGGUCCUCCAUUGAAGAGCGAUGGAGCGUGGUUCAAAGGACCAGCCUUUCUUUACCGGUCGCAAGCGGAGUGGCCAUCAGACGGGGCAACGCUUGACGAAACGAAUGAAGAUGCGAGGGGAAUAAUACUCUUCCAUGGAGUGAUUUCCGUUGAGAAGAUAUCCCGCUGGACGAGAUUGCUACGAGUGACGGCAAGUGCAGUGCGUUUCGUCGCCAAUUGCAGGCGAAAGAUGAAAGGAGUCCCAAUACUGACUUCGCAGGCCACCACGAAACAACAAAGAGCGAUUGAACGAGUCGCAGCAGAACAUGUCACAGUAAAAACGCCGCUUACAAAGGAGGAAUUGCAACAGGCAGAAACCAUCCUGUGGCGACAAGUACAGUGGGAUAGUUUUCCGGAUGAAAUGAGUGCGCUCUCAAACAACUUGAAGCUAGAUCCGGGACAGCCGAUAGAAGAGGUUAAAAAGAGUAGCCGUAUCUACAAAUGUUCACCGGUGCUUGACGACGAAGGUGUGCUGCGUAUGGAUGGUAGGCUAGCAAAUGCGGGUGAAAUAUCUUUCGACAAAAAACAUCCAAUCAUCUUAUGUCGUUCGCAUGGAAUAACCGCGAAGUUGAUUCAGCACUACCACGAGGAGUUUGGACAUGCGAAUUCGGAAACCGUGUUCAACGAGAUGAGACAGCGAUUUCAAAUCCCGAAACUGCGCUCAGCGAUUCAACGUGUGGUAAGAGUUUGCGUGUGGUGCAGGGUGAACAGAUGUCAGCCACGAAUCCCGAGGAUGGCUCCUUUACCAGUUGAGCGAGUGACCUCUCACUUGCGACCCUUUAGCUCGGUAGGGAUUGAUUACCUUGGCCCAUUAGAGGUAACGGUUGGUCGUCGAAAGGAGAAAAGUCGUUUCCAGAGCAAGUUUGGUAAACCAGCCCACAUCUUUUCGGAUAACGCAACAUGCUUUAGGGGCGCGAACAACGAGAUGAUGCGAAUGGAAAAAAUCAACCACAAGUCAGCGGAAAAAAUCGUUAGCCCCACCACUGCCUGGCACUUUAAUCCACCCAGCUAACCGCAUAUGGGUGGUAUCUGGGAACGCAUGGUGCGCUCGGUCAAGGAGGCAAUGGCUGCGUUGGACGAUGGUCAGAAAUUGACGGAUGAGAUCCUGGUGACGGCAUUGGCGAAGAUAGCGGACAUGAUUAUUACGCGCCCGUUGACAUAUUUACCACAAGACGCUGGAGAAACUGAAGCGCUGACUCCAAACCAUUUUCUGCGAGGAAUGGUAACCGGUGCUGAUUUGGAAGGGAACGAUGAAUCGACGAACCAGGCUGAAGUUUUAAGGAAUGUGUACAAACGCUCGCAGUAUCUAGCCGACAAGAUGUGGGAAAGAUGGAGGAAGGAGUACUUGCCCAUGGUGAAUCAGCGAACAAAGUGGUACUUACGGCUCAUAUCGUUGUCACAUGUCACAAGCAUACCAAGAUAAACGAAUUCGUCAACCACUUCAAAUCGUUCCCCAUCUAUCUCCACCUCAGCACCAACACCACGGGGACUCCCACGCUCUCUGACAGCUACCAUGUACUUCGUUUUGGCAGAGUUAAUGACAAGUCCCAAGAAGCAUGUGAGAUUUUGUGAUGAUCGUACCGUUUCUUUCGACGUUUGCUCUUCGUACUGCACCCUCAAGAGCGAUGUUAAACAGUAGGUUGGUGAGUGCAUCCCCCUGCUUCAGUCCAUCCAACGUCACGAACGCGGCUGAUGUCUCGCCAGCUAUCCGCACGCACGAUUUUGAUCCCUCCAGUGUCAUGCGACUCAGCUUUAUUAGUUUCGCAGGUAAACCGUGUUCCAGCAUGAUCUGCCACAGCUCGUUUCUUUUCACUGAGUCGUAUACUGCCCUGAAGUCCACAAAAAGAUGGUGAGUCGAUAAGUUGUACUCCCGGAACUUAUCGAGGAUCUGUCGCAGGGUGAAAAUUUGAUCCGUCGUGGAACGCCCUUGUCGGAAACCAGCCUGGUAUUCGCCAACAAAAGAUUCCGCUAGCGGUCUCAAUCUGAAGAACAGGAUACGGGAGAGCACUUUAUAUGCGGAGUUGAGCAACGUUAUCCCUCGAUAGUUGCCACAAUCCAAUCGAUGGCCCUUCUUAUAGAUAGGGCAUAUGAGGCCUUCCAACCAGUCGUUCGGCAUUUGUUCGUCCGCCCAGAUUCUUAGUAUUAUCUGGUGGACCGCAUAGUACAGCCGCUCGCUUCCCGCUUUUAGAAGUUCGGCCGGGAUACCGUCCUUCCCAGCGGCCUUGCCGUUUUUCAGCUCACUAAUCGCCUUUUUCACCUCCUCCUGUGUUGGUGGCUCCACAGCUUGUUCGUCACUCAUAAUCGUCAUCCUGUUCCUGCUCUGCUCAUCCGGCACCUCACCGUUCAAUAGCGCCUGAAAAUGCUCCUUCCACCUGGCUGCAAACGUCGGUUUAUCAGUAAGCAGGUUGCCGUCCUUGUCAUUACACAUGACCGGCACCGGGAAAUUCCUGCUUCUGACUCUGUUGACAGUUCUAUAGAAUCUCCGCACGUCGUUUUGAGCAUAGCUGUCCUCUGCGCCGGCGAGCACCUGCUCCUCGUACUCGCGCUUCUUCCGACGGUGGGUUCUAUUUUCAGCAGCUCUUGCCACCCUGUACCUCUCUCUGUUCUGACGCGUAGCCGCAGUGAGCAUGCGGCUCCUGGCACGGUUCUUCUCAUCUGUCGCUCUCUGGCACUCGGCAUCGAACCAGCCGUUAGGCUGCCUUCCACGCGUCGUACCUACCACCUCUCUCGCAGUCGUUUCGAUGGCGCCGUGAAUACUGCUCCACAGCCCAUUUAUGUCUUCCACUCCUUCCUCCUGCUGUUCUGCGAUCCGUUGAUCCAGCUCUCUGGCGUAUUCUGCUGCCACGCCAUCAGCUUUCAACUGCUGAAUGUUGAAACGCGUCGUCCUCUCUGUGCGAGAUUUCAGCACGUUCGACAACCGUGCGCGGAUCUUACAAACGACGAGAUAAUGGUCAGAGUCAAUGUUUGGUCCCCGAAAAGACCUAACAUCAGUAACAUCCGAAAAGUGCCGACCGUCAAUCAGUACGUGAUCGAUCUGGGAGCAGGCUUCUCCAUUUGGAUGCCUCCAGGUGUGUUUCCGAAUAUUCAAACGUGGAAAAUAGGAGCUACAUAUGGCCAUUCCUCUGGCCGCGGCAAAGUUUAUCAGCCUCAGGCUGUUUUCAUUGGUUGACGAGUGGAGGCUAUGCCUUCCAAUGACCGGACGGGAGAAUUCCUCCCUCCCAACCUGUGCGUUUGCGUCUCCGAUGACGACUUUUACGUCGUGUUUUGGGCACUCGUCAUAGAUUCGCUCAAGCUUGUCAUAGAACUCAUCUUUGACUUCAUCGGAUUUGUCGUUUGUCGGUGCGUAGGUGUUGAUUAAACUGUAGUUGAAGAAUUUGCCCUUAAUCCUCAACACGCAUAUACGGUCAUCUACGGGCCUCCACUGGAUGACUCUUGUUUUCUGAUUUCCCAGCACUACGAAACCGACGCCCCGUUCCGCUGCUUUGCCGCCACUGUAGUAGAUGUGGUACUUGAGGGAAGUGCAUGCAAUAGGGUCUACUGCACGGAAUUCCCUUUCUCCGGAAUUUGGCCACCGAACCUCCUGAAUCGCUGCGAUUUCGACUCCCUGCCGCUGUAGUUCUCGAGCAAGCAAGCCAGCCCGCGCCGGUUCAUUGAGAGAUCGGACGUUCCAAGUACCCAAUUUCCAAUCGAUUACCUUAAUCUUUUUCCGUGUUCGUAGCCUAGGUCUUUGCCGAUUGAUCCGUUCCGUAUUUCUAAAAUCGUUGUUCGUGGUUGAUGAAAGGUUUCGGUAUGCUACCCUACCGGGGUCGCGAUACCUACAUCCUGCUGAUGGGGCUGCCAUCUUAGGUGUAGCUGGCGGGAUACAGCAUUCCAUAAUUCAGCCGCCCGCUCCGGGUCAGACGCUGUUGUACGCCGCCCUUAUGGGGAUACAGCCGCGUACGACCCCCUUCCCAGUCAGCAUACGACCAUAGUUUCCACCGGGGUUGGUUACCCGAUCUCCGUUAAGGUUACUCGUAUUCCGGUCGGCACCACGUGGAGGUUGGGAUAGGAGUUGCUGGACAGAGGUGAAUGGCCACAUUAGGGUCUCAAGUUACACGUGUCCAGCCAUUUGCCAACCCGAACAAAGUGGUUCGGUGAACAAAAACCGAUCAAAAGGGGUGAUCUGGUGUUCGUGGUAGACGGUAAGAACCGCAAAGGCUGGAAAAGAGGAAUUGUGGAGGCGACAGUUAAGGGUUCAGAUGGACGGAUAAGACAGGCGGACGUGAGAUACGCUGAUGGCAGCAUACACAGACGCGGCGUGGUCAACUUGGCGGUGUUGGAGAUUCGAUAAAUCCGGAAGUAGCGGAUGUUACGUGCUGGGGUGUUACAACACCGCAGGCAACACUGGAGUCGUUUUGGAUGGCGUUUGACAUUUAUGCUAAACGUUUGAUGAACAUGAAAGAUAGGUAAAGAAUAAGUAACCAGAGAGAAAAAGCAAUAGAUUUAUAGCAAAAACAUAGAGGAUAGGAAGUAAACAAAUCGCCAUUACAAGUGAAUAGUAGAAGUUAGGAAAAUAAAGUGGAAAAUUAUUACUAUCUAAAUCGAGUUAGCUACGAGGAUCAAAAAAAAUCGCGACAGGUGUUACAAAACUGCUCCUGAAAACUUGUGAAAAAUUGUGAGUAGAGUGCAGCCUGAAGAAAUAGUUAUUUAGUGUAAAUUCGAAAAUAAAUUUGAUCCAUUGUACUUACUCAUAGAUACAGCGUUCGUCGGUAUUUCCUGAAAUCUAAAUUAAUAGAUACUUACCCUGGAAGUUUUGUUCGUCCUGUAGUAGGUAGCUGAAAUAAAUAGGUAAUAAGAAAAAUAUCUUUAUACUUACCAAAAUACCAUAGAUACAGAUUCUGCAAGUGCGGUUCGAUCGGUGUAGAGUAACUCCCCACAAAUUGGUCCAAAGCACAAAUAACAUUGGUGAUAGAAAACCAUUAAGCGGUAGAUAGGAAAGCAGGAUCGUAAACGGCUAAGGUGAAUCCACUUCUUGUAAGUCUUAUGUAAUUUCAUAUUUAAACUUAGGCUAAUAAUCAAAAUAAAAUUGCAGUUUGAGCUUGAGUUUUCUCAACAUGUUGUUUUUCAUUAUGGGACAUUUAUUCCGGUACCGGCAGCAAACGUUCGGCUCAACCCCGUUGGUGUUAAGAAAAUAACCGCAUCGACACAGAUUUCUGCAGAGGAGAAAUUUAAGAAUGAAGGCAUGUUCUUAAAUGUUCCUAAAGAAAAAAUUCACUAAGAGUAAGAACUAAGUGAUUAUCAACUAAAAAUUCAAAGUAAAAAUUGACAUUAUCUUCCAUUUAAAUUUUGACAAUUCAUUUGAUUUUUUGAUGUAGAAUACGUCUUAUGACACCAUAUACAGGGUUCCGAUUUCAAAAACCGAAAACAUCGAGAGCGUCACGAAAAUUGUCCAUUUUCAAACGCUUUAAUCUCAGUCAGUUUCCAACCGUUUUCCUUCAUUCUUUCAGCAAUCGGUUGGAAAAUCAUCUAUGCACCUGCCUAAAAGAAUAUCAGGAACACUUGUGUAAUUUGAGUUGUCGCCAGUAAAAGAGAGGCCGACUUUUUUAUUGGCCCUGACGACUCUGUUGACAUUGGAUUGGUUUUUACUUGCGAAAGUGAAGGAAGGAAAUAUUUUUGCUUUUGUUUUCACACAUAAAUUGACAAUUGCAUAUGAAAAUUUGCGUAGGUGCGAACAGCCUUAAAAAUCUCUUUUACUUGUGUCAGGGCCAAUUGCAUCAGCUUUUAUAGGUUAAACUUGUAUAUACUUUUGACUCUUCGUUGUUGUCUUCUCUUAUGUAAGCUGCGAUGACAGGUAAUCGGUAAAGGGGUUUGGACUUUGAUGCUGGAGGUAUAUUAAACCGAAAGGUAAUCUUACACUGCCCAACGCAGAAAAUCGUGAUUUAACUAUUGUAUUGUUGGAAAUUGUCAAACCUCGUCGAAACGCAGAUUUCGACCUCUGAUUGGUUAACUGAGUUUUGAAGUAGAAUACUUCUCUCAGGAAGUUUGGCUACAUAGGGAUGUGAAAUGAAAAUCUAAAACCGAAAAAAGUGAAAAAUAUGUCCAAUUUCAAAUGCAAAUAAAUCGGUUAGUAUUCGAUGGAUUUCCUUCGUUCUUGCAGCAAUAGAUUGGAAAAUCUUCUAAGAUUUUUCCCAAAAGAAGAUAAAUGUAAUUUUAUUAUUCACACUAUUGUGCUAUUGAAAAUAGUCAAGCCUUGUCAAAACGAAAAAUUCGACCUCUGAUUGGUCGUUAUAUGUUGCUUCCCAAGCACGGUCGACAGAAUCAUAUACCUUGCAAUUGAAAACAUGUUAUUUGGCCUAUAUAAGAGCCUGUUUCAGCCGAAGCCGCUCAUAACAGUUCUAGACAGCGACAACAGCAGUCGUCCUUCCUUAGCAGCAGCACUAGCCCUGUGGUUGGUCACCACGUCUCAGGAGUAGCGCGGUUCUUCUCAGCGUGUGUCGCCAGACUGCCAUUAUUCCCCCCGUGUUGGGGCAGCAUGAAGAUUGCCAUCAGGAAAUCUAAUUUUGAAAAUCAAAAUACCUUUUUUAAGGAAAAUAAACAAGUCAUUGAAAGUUAAUAAAUUUUGACAACGCAAGCAAGCAUUCGUCGCGCCCGUGUAAUUCACUGAAUGUGUAAUAGCUUCCACAGUGCAUGAUGUCCGUGUAUCCUAAUUCCCCCACUGUUAGGGAAGCUCAAAGGUUGCGAUCAGCAACCGAUUUUGAACCGCAAAAUGCCUUUUUCAAGGCGAAUAAACAAGUAAUUGAAGGUUUAUAAUUUGCUGGCAUCAACACAAGCAGACAUUCUGUGCGGGAUGCAAUCAAAUUCUGUUGUAGUUGUCUAAUUUUUACUUAAUUUAGUUAACCGCCCACUGUAAAGGCUGCGAUUAGCAUAACCGACUUUGAAUUCACAAAGACAGUUAGGUCGACUAUGCAGAGCUAAUAUGAAGUCGAUUCAAUCAAUCAGCAUGAACAGAAUUUCGUCGUCUCCCAGUUGCCAAGUUGCAACAUGAUGCAACACGCAGCAGCGAGCAAACGAAAUCGCUAGAUGUUACAAACCGUAAUAAGAUACGGGUUAAAACCGUUGCGUGUGUAAGAGCACCAUUGGUGUUUAUUCGCUGGAUACAAAAAUCAAAUGCGGAUUGUGGAAUAAUUCGUCUAAAGAACAUUAGGAAAUGUUGAAACUGAACUGAAAGGCGUGGCCUAUUACGUAGCACCCUUCGGCUAUAAAAGAGUGUUUCUGCGAAAACUAGCUACAUUCAUUAGUCGGAAGGUGAACUGGAUGAACCGUCCACAACGUUGACAGCAGUAGCAGCAGAUAUCGGCACUCAGCAGUAACAGACCAUAGCAGCGGGUCGCGCUGUGGCUGCCUUCAAAUUAAACACUUGCCCUGUGGUUGGUCACCACGUUUCAGAAGCAGCGCGGUUCUUCUCAGUGUAUGUUGCCGGACUGCCAUUAUUUCCCCACUGUUGGGGCAACCUGAAGAUUGCCAUCAGGAAAUCCAAUUUUGGAAAUCAAAAUGCCUUUUUCAAGGCAAAUAAACAAGUCAUUAAAAGUUAAUAAUUUUUGACAACGCAAGCAAGCAUUCUGUGUUGGAUCCUAGCAAUUUAAAUCUGUCGCACCCGUCUAAUUUACUGAAUGUGAAAUAGCUUCCACAGUGCAUGUUGUCCGUGUAUCUUAAUUCCCCCAGUGUUAGAGCAGCUCAAAGGUUGUGUUCAGCAGCCGAUUUUGAACCGCAAAAUGCCUUUUUCAAGGCAAAUAAACAAGUAAUUGAAGGUUUAUAAUUUGCUGGCAUCAACGCAAGCAAACAUUCUGUGCGGGAUGCAAUCAAAUUCUGUUGUAGUUGUCUAAUUUUUACUUUAUUGAGUUAACUCCCCACUGUAGGGGCAGCGCCAAGGCUAGUGAUAAGCAUAACCGACUUUGAAUAACAAACUGCCCUGUUAGAACGCGUUCACAAAGACAGUUAGGCCUCUGCCAUGGUGAACGCGAACGCGAGCGAUGGGGCGAGAAACUUGCCGUAGGAAAAUAAACAACUCUCUUUACGGCUGUUCGGCAUUCUGGAUUUUGGCAAUCAAAACUUCUGCUGGCUGUCUGAUUUUCAGUGAGAAAACAGCCUUCAACUUUGUUGUCAGAGUGCCUGACUACGGUUUGGUAAUACUGUUUGAGUUAAAUGUUUACAAAAUUUUACAAUAUUCCUCUUUCUCCCGUUCAAUAAAACAGGUAAUACGAUGCCUUCGUCAUACGCAAGUUCACCAUAACUCCCGCUUUCGUCGUAACACAGAGAUGCAAUCAGCGUCAUAUCCGAUUUUAAAUUCAACAACAAACUGUCAUUUUUAGGACAACCAAACAAAUGAAUUGAAGAUUUAAUAUUUUCUCGUUCUGAGCUUUAACCAAAAGUUAAUUAUCUUAAUUUGAAUUCACAUGUACAUAUACUCUGACUGUUGAAACUUGCUUGCGCCGUAAAGAGUUUGUUCUUUUCCUGUUCAGUGAGGUCGUAUUAAUAUGUGUAAACUGAAAUUGAAUAGUACUUCAACUUCAUUUGCACAGAAUUUUCAAUACUGCCAAUGAGCGGUCAACAUUUAUUUGAUAGGAAAAAUGACUGACACGCAAGCAGCCGGGUUAUCUUUCUUGUAAAAGUAUUCUACUUCAACCUUGCGGUCGUGGCUUUGCAUACAACCUUCCUGUGAUUUUUUUACCUUGUUAAGUGGGGAGAGUGCAUUGCGCUAAAUGUAUAAUUCAUUCCAAGGCUAUAGCGAUUCCAUACGGACAUUGAAUGCUGAUCGUGCUAAAGAAAGAAAAGCCUGGUUUCAAUUAGUGGCUAGUCGCGCUGGGCUUAAGCACCCGUCUAUCUGCCGGCUGUUGUGAAGUUUUUGGUAGGGCUGCAAAAUUACUAGAAAUUGUAGGAAAUUCUGCUAGAUUUUUCGAACUAAAUUUCUAUUUUUAUUAACAGCCUUUACCCAUUAACACACAAGUUCACAAGUGAUGCGGUAUAUUUUUCCAAAUCUAUCAUAUUUCCAGUUCGCUUAUUUUUCGCUUUCCCUACUGCACAUACUGUCUGCUCAAUGAACUCUGCUUAAGUUAACGAGAGAAUUAUAAUCAUCGGCGAAUGGCAAUCCGAAAUGACGAUGAAUUGAACAAACUUGCCGGUGUUGUUACAUUUGUGCAAUACAACUGCACCUUUUGGUCCCCCAAAAUUUUGUAAUUGAAGUAGUUGAGAUUUAUUUGCCAUUCGCCAAAACGUUGCUGAUAGUGAUAAAAAUCUUGCAACAAGCGUAUAAUUGCAUUCUCGUUUUUUCGUAAAACACAAUGGUACCUCUUGGUGCCCCAAAAUUAUAUAAUUGAUGUACCGUACAGCAUACUUAUCACUCUCCUCAGUAUGUGGAAAGAGCGGAGAAACAAUUCCCUUUCAGUAUGGGCCUGCGUGUAGCAAAUGCUUUCACCAUACUGCUUCUUUCUCCACUCCAAAGUGUCUCAACGAACUUACAGAGAGACAAACACACUUCCAGCUCACCCCACAUUUGAUAGAAACAAGCGUGGUGAAUCACUCUACAGAGAAAACGCAGAAGUACACCUCAGUGUUCACUGGCGAGUAGUCCGGAAAGUGAAAAAAAACCUACCGGGCAAAAAUGUAGUCCUCGUGCAGCUACACCGCGAAAACGAAUUCGACCAGAGUAAACUCGACCGGUACGAGCAACGCAGUCUUUUUUUUCUACCAAUCUCGUUUCCUCUUCUGACAUGCACAAGAAACAAACUGUAAAACGCACCGCAGAUAGCUCUGCUGUGUAAUUUAUGUGCGUGAUGUCUAUACGUGUGAGAAAGUACACCAUAGUUCAUUGGCUCGCAAGAGUGUGAUUUCAGAUUUCACCGCGGUGCUUUCAGGAAGCUCACCAGAUAAAAAUCGUUCGUCGUCCUCUUCUAUCAUGUGCGUUGAUUUGCUCUUUAGUGUGAGAGAAGUAGUUUUCGCAGUGCAAGAUGUUCUCCUGCACUCUAGAGGUUUUCUGAGAAGAAAAGACAAGCAUACCGGACAGUGCCCAUUCACCGUGAGUUUAAUUCACCGCUCACUUUUCACUAGGAAGUUACAUGAUAUUCAGCAACGCUUUCCUGAAGGAUUGGGAAAAAUAUUUUUCGUGAAGUGUGUUUUGUUAUGGAAAAAAAUAACUUCCAACUAAAAAGCGAGUGGUGAAUGGAACCCUGACGGUGAAUGGGCAAUUUACGGUAGUUAAGAUUUUUCAUACUUGUAACAGAAGUGAAACUGCACAUUUCCUCAUUUGCAAGACAAGAAAAAAUUAAGCACUGCUUUAAGAUUGUAACCGAUUUUAAUUCAUACUUGGCUGAAAGAAUGAAACAAUUCACUUGGAGCUAAUGGAUUUUGUAACAGCUUAGCUCCUUUGGACACGUGCGUGCUUAGAUAGCACUCUUGGCAACAGCAAACGUACGGCGGUCUGAACUUCGUGGGAAGAAAUGGUAGAACGACUCAUAUACUCCAGUGAUAACAUUCACAUUUUUAGUAAAAAACACGUCAAGCUUUAAUUUAAUGAUCGUAAUUGGUUCUUCCUCAGGAAAACUAUGUUUCUAAUUCAUGUAAUUUAUUCUUGAAAUCGGACUUCUCACUUUGGUAUACGAUAUAGCACAAGCUUGACUUGUAUAAUAAGUAUAUAGCAAUCGUUGGUAUAACAAAGGUGCCUGCUGUGGUAGGUGGAUUAAUCAAGUUUUUUUUUCAAUAUUAAUACACUACACUCUAAAAAAUAGGCACGUAAAAUCCUCCUGAAAAAUCACGUAAAUGGCUGACUUCUGACUUUCACCUAAAUUUCACGUGCGAUUCACUGUCAAUUCACGUAAAUUGGUCAAAUUAUAAUGUAAAUAGUUUGAGCGAGUUGGUAUUUGUGUGUUUUGACUUUGUUAGUGUUAGUGCGACUGUGGUGUGACGUUUCCGACAACGGAAUUUACGUAAAUUUUUAGUAUGCAAAAAGUCAAUAUGGCGUACAAAGAACUCCUAGGCUACUUCAGCUAAUUCUAUAUUGGAAAACACGCAAUGUAGGUAGCCCGAAUAAUAUUUAGAUUAACAGAAGAAACAAAUACAUUUUUCAAAUUUUCAGUUGGUGAAUUCUUUUCGGACGAUUGGAAUCGUGAACGGUCAUUUUUAAGCGGAACAGCUCCCGCCGGUUGAUCGGUCAACAUCUUUCCGGCCAUUCCUGUUUUUUUCCUGCCGGAAAUCUCGAUUUUAAACAAAUAUGGGAUACCGCUGGCCAGGAGAGGUUCAAAGCCUUACGUACACCUUUUUAUCGUGGAUCGGACAUUUGUUUGCUAGCGUACGCUGUCGAUGAUAAGUCAAGUUUUCGAGCGUUAAUUCAGUGGAGAGAGGAAUUU
Molecule: RNA transcript, 12452 nt
Organism: Wyeomyia smithii (pitcher-plant mosquito)
Lineage: Eukaryota; Metazoa; Arthropoda; Insecta; Diptera; Culicidae
Gene: Rab9
Gene name: ras-related protein Rab-9B
Exons: 3
Source: RefSeq, a predicted model, not a curated record